CGCAUCUGUGCAUGCAGCAUAUCAAUAAGCGGAGGAAAAGAAACUAACAAGGAUUCCCCUAGUAACGGCGAGUGAAGCGGGAAGAGCUCAAAUUUGAAAUCUUAAAGGGUUUCCCUUUACGAAUUGUAGUUUAAAGAAGUGUUUUCUGUUGAGGUUUUGGUAAAAGUUCUUUGGAAUAGGACAUCAUAGAGGGUGAGAAUCCCGUAUUUGACCUUUACUUUCAACUUUGUGAUACACUUUCAAAGAGUCGGAUUGUUUGGGAAUGCAGUCCAAAAUGGGUGGUAAAUUUCAUCUAAAGCUAAAUAUUGGCGAGAGACCGAUAGCGAACAAGUACCGUGAGGGAAAGAUGAAAAGAACUUUGAAAAGAGAGUUAAACAGUACGUGAAAUUGUCAAAAGGGGAAGCGUUUGACACCAGUGUUGUUUUUCUGAAAAUCAAUUAAAGAACUGUUUAUGCUAAGUUGUUUAGACUUUAUCAGCUAACUGUUUAGUUUUGAGCUUUUCUUUAAUGCACUUUUCAGUUAACAAGUCAACAUCAAUUUCUUUUGCUGUAAAAAAGCUUGAGGAAGGUGGCUUGAGAUUCGUCUUAAGUGUUUAUAGCCUCUUGCCUAUGCAGUCGGAGAGAUUGAGGUCUGCAGCGUAGAUCCUUCGGGGCUAAAUGCAUUUGUGCUAAGUUAUAGCAUUUUAUAGACAACUUGUUGACUAUGAUUUGUCUUGUAGCUUACUCGCUUAUGUUAUUUUACCUACGCUUAGGAUGUUGAAUCUGUGCGAGACUAC
This 775-nucleotide ribosomal RNA is filed under the name uncultured Neocallimastigales. Its description in RNAcentral is "partial large subunit ribosomal RNA". It matches the Rfam family "Eukaryotic large subunit ribosomal RNA", at positions 26 to 644 of the family's 3401-position model. The record is from RNAcentral. Lineage: Eukaryota; Fungi; Neocallimastigomycota; Neocallimastigomycetes; Neocallimastigales.